Molecule: long non-coding RNA, 691 nt
Organism: Zea mays
Lineage: Eukaryota; Viridiplantae; Streptophyta; Magnoliopsida; Poales; Poaceae
Exons: 4
Source: RefSeq, a predicted model, not a curated record
CAAGUAGUUUCCAGGCCUACUCCAAUCUCCAGGCCCAGGCAAAACAGCCCCAGACCGCGUGCGUUUCGCUUCUGCCCCUGCUGUUUCUGUUUCUUGGCGUCCAUCCCCUCUUUCUCUCGUGGCGACGACGGCGACCGUCACACCCCCCCUAUGUGCUAGGUGCCAGGGUCCGUCGGGUCCUUCGCUGGCGACGAGCAACUACCAGGCGACCCAGUGGUGUGUUCGGGAACGUUUCCGCGGGCGGGCGGCGGCCCCCAGUGGCGAAGAUGAUCUGACUACCGACGUACGCAGCACGAGGCGUUCGUUGCCAUCUUCUUCUCCUUUGAGUAUAUGAUACUAGCAACAUCCACGGUAUCAACAUUCGUGAAGUAUAUAUUCUAUGUUAGUGACAUGCUAAUGGAAGGUCAAUGGGAGAAAAAGGCAGUGUAUACAUUUUACUUGGAGCUCAUAAGUGACCUUGUGCACUUGUCAUUAUACAUGCUCUUCUUCAUAGUUAUCUUCCUGAACUAUGGUGAUCGGCGACCGUGAUCUUCCAUGUUAUUAUGUUCUGAUACUUGAGACUUUUAUUAUGACUAUGUAUGAGAUAUUGUCUCUUAUUAGUACUGGUUGAUGAGAUGUGUCUUAUUAUGACUAUGGAUGAGACUUUUGUGAUGUAAUUGAUAAGACUAUGGAUGAGACUUUUGUGAUGUAA